GCCUGCCUAGCUCAAUCGGAUAGAGCGUCAGACUCUUAUGAUGUCUGCUCAAAGGCGGAGUACAUGCGAUCUGAAGGCUGCGAGUUCGACCCUCGCGGUGGGCU
Non-coding RNA from Coprinopsis marcescibilis, 104 nucleotides. The record is from the annotation of a GenBank genome assembly. Lineage: Eukaryota; Fungi; Basidiomycota; Agaricomycetes; Agaricales; Psathyrellaceae.